CCGGGGGCGGGCCGGGGGCGGGGCGCCGAGCACGGCGCCGCGGGAAACCCAGCCUCCGGCGGCGCCCACGCCGCCCCUCCGCCGGGAACAAACGCCUUCCAAUCGAAAGACCGUCUCCCGGGUACCCCUAAAGGUGUGUACUGCUACUGCCAGGAGGCCUAGAUCUUCUGACCGCCCAAACCAUCCGCUACUGUGUUACAGUGAAGUCCAUUGGAGUCAUCCGCUUAGCAAAUAGGAGGAAUGGAUUUCGUCUUGGGGAAGCUGAAGGAUUUGAAGGCCCCGUGUUGUGCUGAAGGUUCAGGAUGAAGAUGAAGGCCUUAAAAACAAAAGGACGAAUUAAAUGAUUGUGCGAAAUGAAGUAAUUGCAAUAAAAGCAUGGAGAAAAAGCCAGAUGGAAGAAUUGUUUUAAAACAAGUAACCCACCAGUGGAUGAGAAGACACUACAACUUCAGUUAAUUCUAGCAACCAAAUAUAAGCUCCACGUUGCUCCCUGGACUUUGGGUUUCCUUGCGACUGGUUCUCGCCCUCCUCCGUUAAUAGAGCAUUGCAUUUUGCUAGACCAGGCUUUCUUUAUUUCUGGGAUGAUUCUUCCUCAGCCUUAAGGAAUUACCUCUUCCAGGAAGCCUUUUCUAAGUAUAGCAGGUGCCUUUGCUUCCGCGUCAUAGUUCUUAUCACACUCCGCUCUCUGCCACCGUCAAUUCUACUUCAGGAAGGAAAGCGGAGUGUGGGCACAUCAGCUCCAGACAUCCUAGGCCUUCUGAUAAACAAAUAUCAGCAUUUUUGACGAGCAGCAUUUGCCCAGUUUUUCUCCAAAUACUCCUCUUAAGAGUGGAAAAUGGCACGGAAAUGGGUUGGCAUUGAUAACUGUUGUUGGCAGACAUCACCUCUCACAGCUUUUCGCCUUGUCAAAGGAUGCCUCGUUCCCGAGGGAGUUCUGUAAGAGCAAAGCAAACGACCUGUAGGCAUAAGUCAGCGAGUUUGCUGCACGAGAGGACAUUCAUCUGGAAAGUCAGACACCCCUGUCAACUUCCAAUUUCUGGAGGUGGCAUUUCUUGAGGCCCUCCCUCUUGGAUUGGAGGUUUCCAGCCCAGGCGCCUGUCUCUUUACUAGGCUAUAAAGGACUUCCCUUCCCAAGGCCUCCUCAAGGUCCCUGCUGGCUGCGGCAGUCUCGGCAUUUAGGUGUUUCUCUUAACCAGCAACAAGAGAGGGAUUUAGAGGACCUUCUUGACUUAAAAGCAUUUUCUGGAAGUUGCACGUCCUAUUCUCCUUACAGUCCUCAGCGGUUUGUUUACCUGAAAUAUAUUCUACAAUUAUGUGCUCAAAAUGGAUGGUCUGUUUUCCGAGUUUGCCUGAUUUGUGAAUCCCCACUUAUUUUUUCAGAGUGGUAAGUAAAUAUUCCCAAACAAUGUAAGAAACAGUGAUGGCUUCCCCACAUUGUUGCCUUGCACGUCAGACACUAUUUUAAAGAUGGUCAAGGAAAAUGAAUAUACAAUUAUUUGUUUGAAUGUUCUUAUCCCUAUGCUUUCAAUAUUCGUACUGCUACUAUCAGCUUAUAUCUACAUGAGCACUUGACAAUUUUAAAGAAUUCUAACAUGCGUUUCAGCAAGAAUUUAAAACUCAGGUUAGAAUGUAUCAGCCUUAAUGUUAGCAUGAAUAAAAGGGGUAACGUGUUCUUUGUGUGCCAAUGAGUCACUUCCAGUUUUUUAGCUACCUAUUAUGUUUCAUCGGAAAUGUUUGCAUAUUUAUAUCAACUUUCUGUUUACCCCUUAGAUUAUUCAUGCCUGAGUGGAGUGUCAGCUGCAGAAAUAGGAGGUUUAAUGAGUUUCAAGGGGAUACCUCAUUCCAAGAACAAAAACUGGGAAAGGAAUAGAACACAAGUGCCUGCAUACUAAUAUGGCCCCUUGUUAGAACCAGUCUCAGAGCACAGGAUGAUAGACAGUCCCUGCACAGUAUACAUCUCUUUUCGGGAGGCUUUUACUUCCAGUUCGACUUUGUAUAAAUUAAUCUCCUACAGACACCACACUAAUUCUAAAUAUAUAAGCGACACAUACCCAGAGGUCAAGGUUACUGUGACUCGACCCCGAAGACUGUAUUUCUCUGCAUCUGCACAGGUUUUAUUUUACAGACUACUGCUUUGUUUUGCUGCCUUUUUUUCCUUUUUUUUUUUUUUAAUGAACCAUUGUUUAUAAUGGAAAUGAUUGCCAUAAAAAUAAACAUUUAACUUAUUAGCAUUCUACAUGUUCUUUUUCUUUGAAAGAGAGCCUUAAUUUACGUUGGCAAAGAUAAUGCAUCAUAAAGCACCUUUUUUUUAACAUAUUUAACAUAUGCUAUGCAGUGCUAGUCUAUUGGGACAGCAAGCCAAGUUAAUUUAAAAGAGUAAAAGUUAAGGUUGAUCUAUGAAGCACAUAAAAUGGAGAACUAAGACAAUUGUCCGUACUCUUCAGGUUAAAAAUCCCAACAUACAUAAGUAAAAAGAGAAAAAUUUUGGCUCUAUGUAAUUUAGAUGCAUUAUUUUAUGUGUAUUUUAUAUUCUCUGUGUCUGUGCAUGCACAUAUACAUGAAAUUAUAAUCUUGGUAUUCUAAUGUUCAUGAAAAAUUUGAUCUUAAAUUGUACAGUGAAAAUUAAACAAAAAACUUCCAGGGAGUUCCCUGGAACCCAACUAGUAUCCAUGAGAAUACAGAUUCGA
This is a non-coding RNA of Sus scrofa (pig), 2687 nucleotides long. NCBI's taxonomy places the organism in Eukaryota, Metazoa, Chordata, Mammalia, Artiodactyla, Suidae. The record is from RefSeq and is a predicted model, not a curated record.